Molecule: non-coding RNA, 91 nt
Organism: Pelobates cultripes (western spadefoot toad)
Lineage: Eukaryota; Metazoa; Chordata; Amphibia; Anura; Pelobatidae
Source: the annotation of a GenBank genome assembly
AGAGGUGGAGUUAAACCUGCAAGGUUAUUAUUGCAUUCUCUCAAUAACUGCAAUAAUUACCUUGCAGAUUUAACUCUACCUCUAAUGGCUU